UGGCGCACGGGUGCGUAACGCGUGGGAAUCUGCCCCUGGGUUCGGAAUAACAGCGAGAAAUUGCUGCUAAUACCGGAUGAUGACGAAAGUCCAAAGAUUUAUCGCCCAGGGAUGAGCCCGCGUAGGAUUAGCUAGUUGGUGAGGUAAGAGCUCACCAAGGCGACGAUCCUUAGCUGGUCUGAGAGAAUGAUCAGCCACACUGGGACUGAGACACGGCCCAGACUCCUACGGGAGGCAGCAGCC
Molecule: ribosomal RNA, 243 nt
Filed under: uncultured Sphingomonas sp.
Lineage: Bacteria; Pseudomonadati; Pseudomonadota; Alphaproteobacteria; Sphingomonadales; Sphingomonadaceae
Description: partial 16S ribosomal RNA
Rfam family: Bacterial small subunit ribosomal RNA
Source: RNAcentral